AUUGAACGCUGGCGGCAGGCCUAACACAUGCAAGUCGAACGAGGCGCGGACGGGAGAGUAAUGUCGGGGAAACUGCCUGAGGGGGGGGGAAAACUACUGGAAACGGUAGCUAAUACCGCAUACCAUCAGAUGUGCCCAGAUGGGAUUCGCUUGUUGGUGGGGUAACGGCUCACCAAGGCGACGAUCCCUAGCUGGUCUGAGAGGAUGACCAGCCACACUGGAACUGAGACACGGUCCAGACUCCUACGGGAGGCAGCAGUGGGGAAUAUUGCACAAUGGGCGCAAGCCUGAUGCAGCCAUGCCGCGUGUAUGAAGAAGGCCUUCGGGUUGUAAAGUACUUUCAGCCGGGAGGCGUUACCCGCAGAAGAAGCACCGGCUAACUCCGUGCCAGCAGCCGCGGUAAUUC
RNAcentral lists this ribosomal RNA (406 nucleotides) under uncultured bacterium. Its description in RNAcentral is "partial 16S ribosomal RNA". It matches the Rfam family "Bacterial small subunit ribosomal RNA", at positions 30 to 526 of the family's 1533-position model. The record is from RNAcentral.